RNAcentral lists this ribosomal RNA (497 nucleotides) under uncultured bacterium. Its description in RNAcentral is "partial 16S ribosomal RNA". It matches the Rfam family "Bacterial small subunit ribosomal RNA", at positions 28 to 507 of the family's 1533-position model. The record is from RNAcentral.
GAUGAACGCUGGCGGCGUGCCUAAUACAUGCAAGUCGAGCGAACAGACGAGGAGCUUGCUCCGCUGACGUUAGCGGCGGACGUGUGAGUAACACGUGUAUAACCUACCUAUAAGACUGGUAUAACUUCGGGAAACCGGAGCUAAUACCGUAUAAGAUAUUGAACCGCAGGGGUGAAUGGUGAAAUACGGUUUUUCGGGCACGUAUAGAUGGUUCCGCGCCGCAUGAGCUGGUUGUGAAGUUAACGGGUUACCAAGGCAACGAUGCGUAGCCGACGUGAGAGGCUGAUCGGCCACACUAGAGCUGGGCCACGGUCAAGGCUACUACGGGAGGGCGCAGUAGCGAAUGUGCCGCAAUGGGCGAAAGCAUGACGGAGCAGGGCCGCGUGAGUGAUGACGGUCUUCGGAUCGUAAUACUCUGUUAUUAGGGAAGAACAAAUGUGUCCGGUACUAUGCACGUCUUGACGGUAACUAAUAAGAAAGCACCGGCUAACUACGUG